RNAcentral lists this ribosomal RNA (1423 nucleotides) under human gut metagenome. Its description in RNAcentral is "bacterial LSU rRNA". It matches the Rfam family "Bacterial large subunit ribosomal RNA", at positions 545 to 1984 of the family's 2925-position model. The record is from RNAcentral.
AGCACCUGAAACCGUGUGCCUACAAGAAGUUCGAGCCCGUUAAUGGGUGAGAGCGUGCCUUUUGCAGAAUGAACCGGCGAGUUACGUUAUGAUGCGAGGUUAAGUUGAAGAGACGGAGCCGUAGGGAAACCGAGUCUUAAUAGGGCGCAUUAGUAUCAUGUCGUAGACCCGAAACCAUGUGACCUACCCAUGAGCAGGUUGAAGGUGAGGUAAAACUCACUGGAGGACCGAACCAGGGCACGUUGAAAAGUGCUUGGAUGACUUGUGGGUAGCGGAGAAAUUCCAAACGAACUUGGAGAUAGCUGGUUCUCUCCGAAAUAGCUUUAGGGCUAGCGUCGAUGUUAAGUCUCUUGGAGGUAGAGCACUGUUUGGGUGAGGGGUCCAUCCCGGAUUACCAAUCUCAGAUAAACUCCGAAUGCCAAUGAGAUAUAAUCGGCAGUCAGACUGCGAGUGCUAAGAUCCGUAGUCGAAAGGGAAACAGCCCAGACCACCAGCUAAGGUCCCAAAAUAUAUGUUAAGUGGAAAAGGAUGUGGGGUUGCACAGACAACUAGGAUGUUAGCUUGGAAGCAGCUAUUCAUUCAAAGAGUGCGUAAUAGCUCACUAGUCGAGUGACCCUGCGCCGAAAAUGUACCGGGGCUAAAACAUAUUACCGAAGCUGUGGAUACCUUUAUAGGUAUGGUAGGAGAGCGUUCUAUGUGCGAAGAAGGUGUACCGUGAGGAGUGCUGGAGCGCAUAGAAGUGAGAAUGCCGGUAUGAGUAGCGAAAGACAGGUGAGAAUCCUGUCCACCGUAAGACUAAGGUUUCCAGGGGAAGGCUCGUCCGCCCUGGGUUAGUCGGGACCUAAGGAGAGACCGAAAGGUGUAUCCGAUGGACAACAGGUUGAUAUUCCUGUACUAGAGUAUAUAGUGAUGGAGGGACGCAGUAGGCUAACUAAACCAGACGAUUGGAAGUGUCUGGCCAAGCAGUGAGGUGUGAUAUGAGUCAAAUGCUUAUAUCUAUAACAUUGAGCUGUGAUGGGGAGCGAAGUUUAGUAGCGAAGUUAGUGAUGUCACACUGCCGAGAAAAGCUUCUAGCGUUAAUUAUACUCUACCCGUACCGCAAACCGACACAGGUAGUCGAGGCGAGUAGCCUCAGGUGAGCGAGAGAACUCUCGUUAAGGAACUCGGCAAAAUGGCCCCGUAACUUCGGGAGAAGGGGCGCUGACUUAUGGUCAGCCGCAGUGAAUAGGCCCAAGCAACUGUUUAUCAAAAACACAGCUCUCUGCUAAAUCGUAAGAUGAUGUAUAGGGGGUGACGCCUGCCCGGUGCUGGAAGGUUAAGAGGAGUGCUUAGCAAUAGCGAAGGUAUGAAUUGAAGCCCCAGUAAACGGCGGCCGUAACUAUAACGGUCCUAAGGUAGCGAAAUUCCUUGUCGGGUAAGUUCC